Molecule: ribosomal RNA, 505 nt
Filed under: uncultured bacterium
Lineage: Bacteria
Description: bacterial SSU rRNA
Rfam family: Bacterial small subunit ribosomal RNA
Source: RNAcentral
AUUGAACGCUGGCGGCAUGCCUUACACAUGCAAGUCGAACGGCAGCACGGGUGCUUGCACCUGGUGGCGAGUGGCGAACGGGUGAGUAAUAUAUCGGAACGUACCCUAUCGUGGGGGAUAACUAGUCGAAAGAUUAGCUAAUACCGCAUACGACCUGAGGGGGAAAGCGGGGGACCGUAAGGCCUCGGGCGAUUGGAGCGGCCGAUAACUGAUUAGCUAGUUGGUGGGGUAAAGGCCUACCAAGGAGACGAUCAGUAGCUGGUUUGGGAGGACGAUCAGCCACACUGGGACUGAGACACGGCCCAGACUCCUACGGGAGGCAGCAGUGGGGAAUUUUGGACAAUGGGGGCAACCCUGAUCCAGCAAUGCCGCGUGAGUGAAGAAGGCCUUCGGGUUGUAAAGCUCUUUUGUCAGGGAAGAAAAGGUUCUCACUAAUACUGGGAGCUGAUGACGGUACCUGAAGAAUAAGGACCGGCUAACUACGUGCCAGCCGCCGCUGUAACAC